GAUGAAGAACGUAGCGAAAUGCGAUAAGUAAUGCGAAUUGCAGAAUUUCCGUGAGUCAUCGAAUCUUUGAACGCACAUUGCGCCCAUUAGUAUUCUAGUGGGCAUGCCUGUUCGAGCGUCAUUAAGUCCACUUAAGCCCUGCUUAGUGUUGGGAGACUGCUCCAGCGGUGCUACCCUGUAGCUACCCUGCAGCUCCUCAAAGACAGCGGCGGAGUUGUGGUAUCCUCUGAGCUUAGUAACUUGUUCUAGCUUUCGAGUACACCACUUCCCCUGCCGUAAAACCCUUAAUUUUUAAUGGUUGACCUCGGAUCAGGUAGGAAUACCCGCUGAGCUUAAGCAUAUCAAUAAGCGGAGGA
This 356-nucleotide unclassified non-coding RNA is filed under the name soil metagenome. RNAcentral describes it as "partial contains 5.8S ribosomal RNA, internal transcribed spacer 2, and large subunit ribosomal RNA". The stretch from base 1 to 121 matches the Rfam family "5.8S ribosomal RNA", at positions 35 to 154 of the family's 154-position model. The record is from RNAcentral.